UACAGAGGGUGCAAGCGUUAAUCGGAUUUACUGGGCGUAAAGGGCGCGUAGGUGGUUAUUUAAGUGAGAUGUGAAAUCCCCGGGCUUAACCUGGGAACUGCAUCUUAUACUGGGUAACUGGAGUGCAGUAGAGGGUAGUGGAAUUUCCGGUGUAGCGGUGAAAUGCGUAGAUAUCGGAAGGAACACCAGUGGCGAAGGCGGCUACCUGGACUGAGACUGACACUGAGGCGCGAGAGCGUGGGGAGCAAACAGG
Molecule: ribosomal RNA, 253 nt
Filed under: uncultured bacterium
Lineage: Bacteria
Description: partial 16S ribosomal RNA
Rfam family: Bacterial small subunit ribosomal RNA
Source: RNAcentral